UACGUAGGGUGCAAGCGUUGUCCGGAAUUAUUGGGCGUAAAGAGCUCGUAGGCGGCUUGUCGCGUCGGCUGUGAAAACCUGGGGCUCAACCCCGGGCCUGCAGCCGAUACGGGCAAGCUAGAGUUCGGUAGGGGAGACUGGAAUUCCUGGUGUAGCGGUGAAAUGCGCAGAUAUCAGGAGGAACACCGGUGGCGAAGGCGGGUCUCUGGGCAGUAACUGACGCUGAGGAGCGAAAGCGUGGGGAGCGAACAGG
Molecule: ribosomal RNA, 253 nt
Filed under: uncultured bacterium
Lineage: Bacteria
Description: partial 16S ribosomal RNA
Rfam family: Bacterial small subunit ribosomal RNA
Source: RNAcentral